GGUGCCUGGGGGUGCUGAGCCCGCCCGGAGCCGCCUGUGUCCGUGCCGGACUCGGCCUCCCUGCGCCUUGAGCCCCGGCCCACGCUGGGGCUUCUCUUCCCAAGCUGGGUUGCCGUCGGGCAGAGCUGUACACUCCCCAAGUCAGAAGCCAAGGCCCCAAGCGUAGACGCAGACAAGAGCGGCACCAUUAAGGCAUGCACUAGUGGGAGCUUCUCGGUGCCUGCGUGAAGACGCCCUCUUGCCUCUGGGAAAAGUAUCGUCUGCAUCUUCUUGCUCCAGGAGCGGGGGUGGGGAGCGCAGCGCGGAGGAGGCAGCGCUGAGAUGACUCAACAGUGCGGCAUUUGGGGGCGCCGCGGAGGCCCGGACUGCGUAAGCGGCGAUAGGGUAGGACCCACAGCCUCCUCGCAGGCAGUCUUGGAGCUCGGUUCCGCGGUCGGUCCGGAUCUCCCGGGAAGUCUCGCCGGAGUCAGGCAGGCCUUAGGAAGAAGCUGCCUGAUGUGCAGGGUUUCACAGGCGGUCAGAGAGGGCAUCCUGGAGAAGCCCUGGCAUCAGGAAGGAAGAGGUCUCCCUGUCGUCCAGGCUGGUCAUGAACUCCCGGGGCUCAAGCAGUUCUCCAGUCUCAGCCUCCUGAAGUGCUGGGAUUAUAGGCGUGAGCCACCACACCGGGCCCCUCUCAUUUUAAAUGGCUGUGUAAUGUGGAUGAUGACAGCACCUACCUCAAGGGGCUGCUGUGAGGACUAAAUGGGUACGUUCUCAGUUAACAUUAGCGUGAUUGUCUUGUGAGGUCCCACUUCUAUCACUUUCUAUCCCGCCCCAAGCAGAGCCUGUUAGACAGGAGAUGCUCAGAUGCUUAUUGUGUAAACCCCUGUGGGCUACAUGGAAAAUCCCUCCUGACUUCGCUAGAAGGUGCUAUCUUGUCUCUUUUUAGGAUUGCCAAAGGUAUGGUGCCAAGGCCAUAGUACCCUGGCCCCACUGAUCUGCAGGAGUGGCCCUGAGCAUGGGUGGUCCUUUGCUCCUGGCCUUGCUGCUACAGUAAAAACAUUCACUAGUGGGCUGGGUGCAGUGGCUCAUGCCUGUAAUCCCAGCACUUUGGGAGGCCAAGGCAGGAAGACAGCUUGAACUCAGGAGUUUGAGACCAGUCUGGGCAACAUGGCAAGACCCUGUCUCUACAAAAAAAAAAUACAAAAAUUAGGGGAGCAUGGUGGCACACACUGGUCCCAGCUACUCAGGGGGCUGAAGCAGAAUGAUCGUUUGAGCCCAGGAGUGGAUGGAGGCUGCAGUGAGCAGAGAUCAUGCCACUGUACUCCAGUCUGGGCGAGAGAGCGAGACUGUCUCAAAACAAAAAACAUUCACUAGUGAUCAAUUCCUUCUACGUUCCCCAUGGACUGGAAGCUCCUGGAAGCUAAAGCACGUGAAUCACUUGCAUACCACUCUAUGCCCAGGUGCCAAGCGUGGGGCUUGGCACACCUGAGGUCCAGAGGAAGAGCUGCGUUGUUCAGACUGGCAAUGUGUGAGGCCUCUUCUAGCCACAGGUGCCCUGUGCAUGUUGCCCACAGCUAUGGAACCUCCACUCUACCCCUGAGCUACUUACCACUGACACUACUGCCACUUCUGACACCACAAAUGUGGACCCCCUUAAUCAAUCCAAACCCCAUUUCCUGUCCUUCACCCUUCAGAUUAGACUCCACACUUGUUUCUGCCCCAAGUUGUCUCUUCAUAACCCUUAGGGCUCCCAUGAAGCUGGAGUUCACCCUGCCAUAUUCCACAGCCCCUACAUUCCCAUGUCUGCUUUGGAGGGGUCCAGAGGUCUCAGAAUGGGGGGGUUGGGACAUUUAUAUCAGUACCCUACCACAACCCUGGGAUCUAUUUGUGGUGGGGAAUGAUUCAGCCUGUACCGAGGGAGAGGAGAGCUGAAAACUGCCAGGAUUUUCUACUUCAUUCCACAGGGAUCACUUACAGGUGCCCUCUCCCCCAACAGCCAGAAAGGGAAAACAGAGCCGAGUUUGGCCACUGGGGCCUCCACAGCCCUCUGGAAGAAGGGGCUGACUGAUAGGAAGACACUCCUCUGGUGUUCACUGGCCAGACCCCUGUGGGCUCAGAAAACUACCUAGACCCCACAAAGAAAGACACUAGACACAUUUUUAUAAUCAGAAACUUACAGUUUAUUGUGAAUAAACCACUCAACUUUGAGCAGAUGACAUUGCCUCAAUUAACUUUUUCUUUGAAGAAAAACAAAGAUAUAUGGUAAAUUCAUGAAAAUACUGUGUCCUUUCUCUUCCACCCUUUGUAGGGCAGAAAAAUUCUGCCUGACCUUUCCCAUCUUCCUGAUGAUGUUAACAAACGACAGCCACUGGGGGCACAGGAAGGGGCUCUACAUAGGCCAAGAGCUACAGGCUACACUCUGAGCACAGAAAACCCUCCAGCUCCAGCAUCCAGGGCCACAGCUGGACACAAGUACAGAACUUGGCAGUCCUGCAGCCCAGACAAUGCCCAGGGUGUGAUUUAGGGUGCAGAGCUGCAACUCAGAUCCUGUGCCAUGGCAGUAUCACAGGAAGGACUUGACGGAGAGGUAAAGGCUCCAGACGCCAGGAUAUUUAUUCCUUGUGCCGAUACAGCAUUCACACCUGACCUCCAGGUCCUGCAGCAGGUACUCUCCUCGUUCACAGUUAGCUCCCCACUGUUCCAUUCUGGGUUCAUUUGCUAUACUCCUAAUUUGUUCUCCCAAUCCACCCCACAGUCUCUCCCUUGCUGGGGACAACACAGGAAGAGACAAAACCUGAGGAAGGAGAAAGGGAACCUGCAACCAGCCAUGGACCUCAUGAUCCCAUGAGUCACAGCUAUCCUCUUUAAGAAUGACUGUUUUAUAGCUUACAUGGUACCUGGGAAAUUGCUGACUUGCAGCUGAAAUGUAUGAAUACCAAAGAAUUUCUAUCACAAUAUUCACAGAUCUCUGUAACAGCUCUACUUGGAGGUCAAGCAGGCUUGGGAGAGUAUAGACUGCUCUGCCUGCCCUAGAGUGGAAGCAUUGAACAAAGCCACAAACACCCCAGAGAUCACAGAUCUAACUUUUCAAUGGCCCACAGGACCAGGUUCAGGACAGGUAGGACACCAGGCAAACCACUUGUUUCCUUGCACUUUAUUGUGCAAAAGCUGGUCUGUUCCUCUGGCCAGACCCUCCUUAGUACAGGAUCUCGGACCACAAACCAAGGAGUCCCGUGGCCUUGGACUCCCAGACCCUAGGAUAGUAUCCCUCUGACAGCUAGAACCAGGCAAGGGGGAACACACCUCAGCCUCAGAGCAGCCUCUGGACACACUCCAGGUUAACAUGAAAAUAACUUGUGCAAACACGGCCCCCGUGCCAGAAAGUCCAGUGCCCUAGGGAGGGCUAUCCUGAAUUCUGACCCUGAUGUUUGCCAAAGGAGAGUGCAGCAAGACAGUGUCAGGUUUGGCCAAAUGUGACCCUGCUCAGAGCUAUACCACUUGAAUACUGGCACAAAAGAAAGGACCAAGGUAAAGCAAAUUUAUUUGGGAGGAACAAUUCCCUUCAAAAGCAGAUCCCUAUCUUCAGGAGACAAAAGGAAACACUGUGAUGAACCCACACCCCCUAGUUUGGGGGGCCACAGGCCCACCCCCAUUCUGCUGUGGGCUCUAGCCUCAGUAGCCAGAUCCAGGUAAACCUCAGUUUCAAGAAUAAAGGUGAGCCACAGACAUGCAGCACCACCAGAGACAACACCCCGUGGCAAGAAGACCAUGUUCUGGACUGUCUCCGUAUUGCUACGGAGCUCCGUAGCAAUGCUGUGACCCCUUGUGCUCCGUACCCAUUGCACAGGCCAGUUCAAUUCCCUACCAUCUGCCACCCACACUCUUCUUUGGGACUCCAACUCUGGCCAAACAAAUGUGAAUAUGGAAAGCAGAGGCCCAGGGCCCUCUUGCAGUACAGACAUUUUGAGGUGGGUAGGCAGCAUGUUACAUUCUAAGUAAAACAGCUAGAGGGUAAAACACUCCAAUGCCAAUUUAUUUUCAAAAAGGGCUCUGUGUUAUCCUAUAGUUUGCCUUUUUUUUUUUUUUUGUAUAAUUGUACAACCUUUGAAAGUUACAUAAGUUGUAAUUAUCUAAUACUAUUAAUAGCCAUUCAGAAAACACUUUCCCUCCCUCCCAACAACCAUCCAGGGGGAAAUAAAAGUCCUGAAAAGAGGCCAGUUCAACAUGGCCUCUACCCUGGUAGAAACAAAAAGUGAAAAGAGAAGAAAACAGAAAUCAACUAAGAGGUGUUGCCAGUGUCUCUCAGGAGUGGGGCCCUGGCUGUUGCCUGGGGUCAUGAAAGGCAGAGCCUGCAGCAUGCAGUAUGGCAGCCGGGAGACCUUGCAGCCACAUCUUCCUCACCCCGGCACAUCCACAUCCCAACUUAGGUGUCAUGGAAAUCUUUCAGCAGGGUUCUCCUCCGCUGCUCCGCUAUAUGCAUCUGGUUCUCCAAGUCCUGCAUCAGAGAAACAAGGUGUGUGCUUGCAUGGCCCAGGCCUGGGAGCAAGGAGUAGCCAAAGCCACAAACACCCUCCAGGACCUCCAAGGAGUCAAAAACACUGCCCUUCCCAUUCUUAGCAGCAGCUUCCAGUGCACAAGCCAACAACCCUGUCACCUAUUACCAUGCCAGUCCUCUACCUGCAAUACAGAAUCCAAGAGGACAGUAGGCACUUACCCCUCUGUCAUAGCUGUCUGCACGCUCCACUUUCCAUGAGAGGUUUUCGAUCUCAGCCUCCAGCUGAGCCUGCUGGUAUUCAAACUGUAUAGGCAGAGCAGGAGGGUCAAAAGGGCACAGAAGAAGGAGAAAACCACAGGAGUCCCACGAAGGUGCAGAGGUCUACACAGGAGUUCAGGAUAGACAUCUUGCUGGCAGGACAUGGCCAUAGACUCCUCUAACUUAUUCCCCAAAGUGCAAGAGCAGGUCUUCUUCAGUCCAUCCUUCUAACCUGUCCAGAGCAGCUGUAUGCUUACUGCCAGAUCACUCUACCCUUCUGGGGCAACAGGACUCUAGCCCUGAGGACUCUGCAAAGCUAGGCCCCUGAUGGUCUACUAUGCUUAGAGACCAUUAUGCAUGGGGCUCUUUGGGCUUCUGAAGGGCUCCCUGGGAGAAACUGCCUUCUAAAUCUGACUACUAAGAUGAUACUAUGGGAACAGAUUGUGAGGACAGAAAGAAAAAAAUAAAUAAAAAUUAAAAACGUAGAAAAAAGAAAAAAAAAAGAUGGUACUAGAUGGAAAAGACUGUCUGAUGGCCCUUC
Molecule: long non-coding RNA, 5276 nt
Organism: Pongo pygmaeus (Bornean orangutan)
Lineage: Eukaryota; Metazoa; Chordata; Mammalia; Primates; Hominidae
Exons: 3
Source: RefSeq, a predicted model, not a curated record